RNAcentral lists this ribosomal RNA (475 nucleotides) under uncultured bacterium. RNAcentral describes it as "bacterial SSU rRNA". It matches the Rfam family "Bacterial small subunit ribosomal RNA", at positions 28 to 514 of the family's 1533-position model. The record is from RNAcentral.
GACGAACGCUGGCGGCGUGCCUAACACAUGCAAGUCGAGCGAGUGAAUCUCCUUCGGGAGUGAAGCUAGCGGCGGACGGGUGAGUAACACGUGGGCAACCUGCCUCAUAGAGGGGAAUAGCCUUUCGAAAGGAAGAUUAAUACCGCAUAAGAUUGUAGCUUCGCAUGAAGUAGCAAUUAAAGGAGCAAUCCGCUAUGAGAUGGGCCCGCGGCGCAUUAGCUAGUUGGUGAGGUAACGGCUCACCAAGGCGACGAUGCGUAGCCGACCUGAGAGGGUGAUCGGCCACAUUGGGACUGAGACACGGCCCAGACUCCUACGGGAGGCAGCAGUGGGGAAUAUUGCACAAUGGGGGAAACCCUGAUGCAGCAACGCCGCGUGAGUGAUGACGGCCUUCGGAUUGUAAACUACCUGUUGUUGUAGGAAGGAUAAUGACGGUACUCACAAGGAAGUAGACGGCUAACUAACGUGCCAGCAG